AUGAACGCUAGCGACAGGCCUAACACAUGCAAGUCAGGGGCAGCACAAGGAGCAAUCUGAGGUGGCGACCGGCGCACGGGUGAGUAACACGUAUGCAACCUGCCUGUAAGCGGGGAAUAACCCGUUGAAAGACGGACUAAUACCGCAUAAUACUAAAUUACUGCAUGGUAAUUUAUUUAAACAUUUAUGGCUUACAGAUGGGCAUGCGCAUGAUUAGCUAGUUGGAGAGGUAACGGCUCCCCAAGGCAACGAUCAUUAGGGGUUCUGAGAGGAAGGUCCCCCACACUGGUACUGAGACACGGACCAGACCCCUACGGGAGGCAGCAGUGAGGAAUAUUGGUCAAUGGACGAGAGUCUGAACCAGCCAAGUCGCGUGCAGGAAGAAUGUCCUAUGGAUUGUAAACUGCUUUUGCAGGGGAAUAAAGUGCAUCACGUGUGAUGUUUUGUAUGUACUCUGCGAAUAAGGAUCGGCUAACUCCGUGCCAGCAGCAGC
Molecule: ribosomal RNA, 493 nt
Filed under: uncultured bacterium
Lineage: Bacteria
Description: bacterial SSU rRNA
Rfam family: Bacterial small subunit ribosomal RNA
Source: RNAcentral